Molecule: small nuclear RNA, 132 nt
Organism: Camelus dromedarius (Arabian camel)
Lineage: Eukaryota; Metazoa; Chordata; Mammalia; Artiodactyla; Camelidae
Gene: U4
Rfam family: U4 spliceosomal RNA
About the family: U4 small nuclear RNA (U4 snRNA) is a component of the major U2-dependent spliceosome.
Source: Ensembl
AGCUUUGUGCAGUGGCAGUAUCAUAGCCAAUGAGGUUUAUGCCAGGUGUGAUUAUUGUUAAUUGAAAACUAAAUUAUACACAGAUAAAUAUUACAUUUGUUCAAAAAUGCUAUAACUUAAUCAGUAACUUGA